Molecule: ribosomal RNA, 484 nt
Filed under: uncultured bacterium
Lineage: Bacteria
Description: partial 16S ribosomal RNA
Rfam family: Bacterial small subunit ribosomal RNA
Source: RNAcentral
AUUGAACGCUGGCGGCAGGCCUAACACAUGCAAGUCGAGCGGAUGAAGGGAGCUUGCUCCUGGAUUCAGCGGCGGACGGGUGAGUAAUGCCUAUGAAUCUGCCUUGUAGUGGGGGAUAACGUCCGGAAACGGGCGCUAAUACCGCAUACGUCCUGAGGGAGAAAGUGGGGGAGCUUCGGACCUCACGCUAUCAGAUGAGCCUAGGUCGGAUUAGCUAGUUGGUGGGGUAAAGGCCUACCAAGGCGACGAUCCGUAACUGGUCUGAGAGGAUGAUCAGUCACCCUGGCACUGAGACACGGCCGAGACUCCUACGGGAGGAAGCAGCGGGGAAUAUUGGAGAAUGGGCGAAAGCCUAAUACAGCCAUGCCGGGUGUGUGAAGAAGGUCUUCGGAUUGUAAAGCACUUUAAGUUGGGAGGAAGGGCAGUAAGUUAACACCUUGCUGUUUUGACGUUACCAACAGAAUAAGCACCGGCUAACUUCGUG